GAUGAACGCUGGCGGCGUGCUUAACACAUGCAAGUCGAACGCGAGGGUGCAGCGAUGUGCCUGAAAGUGGCGAACGGGUGAGUAACACGUAGAUGACCUGCCCUGGAGUGGGGGAUAACCAUUGGAAACGGUGGCUAAUACCGCAUACAUCCGGAGAACUGGGAAGUUUUCUGGGGAAAGCUCUGGUGCUUCAGGAGGGGUCUGCGUCCGAUUAGCUAGUUGGUGGGGUAAAGGCUCACCAAGGCGACGAUCGGUAGCUGGUCUGAGAGGACGAUCAGCCACACGGGAACUGAGACACGGUCCCGACUCCUACGGGGGGCAGCAGUGAGGAAUAUUGGGCAAUGGGCGGAAGCCUGACCCAGCAACGCCGCGUGGAGGAAGACGGCCUUCGGGUUGUAAACUCCUUUGACGGGAAGAGAGAGGACGGUACCCGUCGAAUAAGUCACGGCUAACUACGUGCCAGCAGCCGCGGUAA
RNAcentral lists this ribosomal RNA (475 nucleotides) under uncultured bacterium. Its description in RNAcentral is "bacterial SSU rRNA". It matches the Rfam family "Bacterial small subunit ribosomal RNA", at positions 28 to 523 of the family's 1533-position model. The record is from RNAcentral.